ACAGAGGUCGGGCCCGCGGACCCCUUCGGGGCUCGGCGGGAUCGCUGUGGGGACAGAAUGGACCUGCCAUUGAGAAGGUGGGUCUGCAGGGGCCGCCUGCCCGCGCCCGACCCCCGCGGCGCCGCGGAAGCAUCACCCGGGCCGCACCCCUGGACCCCUUCCCGGUGGCCCGAGCCGAGGGACAGCGCGCCCCCGGGCUCCCGGCUACGCGGGGGGUGACUUCCGCGGGCGGGCAGGUGGGCGCAGGACUGUGAUCUGAUGGAUUCUGAUACAGGCCCAGGUGCUUUGGAAAAGCUGACUCGCAAGCACAAGGCCAGCAUCUCUCCCGUCCGCUGCCCUCUUGGAAGCUGGCUUUCUGGACUUCCCCUCCACUUUCCAUUUGUGGCCCCGGCUCCUGGGUGCUCCCAGACUCCAGGGCCUGGCGCGCCUUCCCACGGGGAUUCUUGAGGAGAGCACGUGACAUGAGAGUCCAC
This 473-nucleotide long non-coding RNA is filed under the name Canis lupus familiaris (dog). RNAcentral's name for it is "lncRNA (ENSCAFG00845005483.1)". Lineage: Eukaryota; Metazoa; Chordata; Mammalia; Carnivora; Canidae. The record is from RNAcentral.